GUGUUCUUUGAAAGGAGAGACGGUUGGCAUCUCCCCUGGCCCUGACAGGGACGGGAACAGCCUUCCGGCUUACCUGUUAGCACACAUUGUCAACCCAUUAACAUGUCAAGAGACAAAGUGCUGGA
Molecule: non-coding RNA, 125 nt
Filed under: Nelumbo nucifera (sacred lotus)
Lineage: Eukaryota; Viridiplantae; Streptophyta; Magnoliopsida; Proteales; Nelumbonaceae
Source: RNAcentral